RNAcentral lists this ribosomal RNA (255 nucleotides) under uncultured bacterium. RNAcentral describes it as "partial 16S ribosomal RNA". It matches the Rfam family "Bacterial small subunit ribosomal RNA", at positions 524 to 776 of the family's 1533-position model. The record is from RNAcentral.
UACGAAGGGGGCUAGCGUUGCUCGGAAUCACUGGGCGUAAAGGGUGCGUAGGCGGGUCUUUAAGUCAGGGGUGAAAUCCUGGAGCUCAACUCCAGAACUGCCCUUUGAUACUGAAGAUCUUGAGUUCGGGAGAGGGUGAGUGGAACUGCGAGUGUAGAGGUGAAAUUCGUAGAUAUUCGCAAGAACACCAGUGGCGAAGGCGGCUCACUGGCCCGAUACUGACGCUGAGGCACGAAAGCGUGGGGAGCAAACAGG